RNAcentral lists this ribosomal RNA (253 nucleotides) under uncultured bacterium. RNAcentral describes it as "partial 16S ribosomal RNA". It matches the Rfam family "Bacterial small subunit ribosomal RNA", at positions 524 to 776 of the family's 1533-position model. The record is from RNAcentral.
UACGAAGGGGGCUAGCGUUGCUCGGAAUCACUGGGCGUAAAGCGCACGUAGGCGGCUUUUUAAGUCAGGGGGGAAAUCCUGGAGCUCAACUCCAGAACUGCCUUUGAUACUGAGAAGCUUGAGUCCGGAAGAGGUGAGUGGAACUCCGAGUGUAGAGGUGAAAUUCGUAGAUAUUCGGAAGAACACCAGUGGCGAAGGCGGCUCACUGGUCCGGUACUGACGCUGAGGUGCGAAAGCGUGGGGAGCAAACAGG